AGAUUAGCCGGAACAUGCUGGAACUUCUAAUUCCUGUAAGGGGGUUCAACUCCUCCAUAAUCUU
RNAcentral lists this transfer RNA (64 nucleotides) under Eisenia balatonica. Its description in RNAcentral is "tRNA-Ser". The record is from RNAcentral. RNAcentral also lists the same sequence under 1 other name. Lineage: Eukaryota; Metazoa; Annelida; Clitellata; Crassiclitellata; Lumbricidae.